Molecule: long non-coding RNA, 2090 nt
Organism: Brienomyrus brachyistius
Lineage: Eukaryota; Metazoa; Chordata; Actinopteri; Osteoglossiformes; Mormyridae
Exons: 2
Source: RefSeq, a predicted model, not a curated record
CCUUCUUUGGUCCAGUUUUGCGUGUGUAUAGGGGAAAAACAGGCGGAGAUGAAGUACUUAGGACAGUUUUUAUUCCAUUUUUCAUUUAGCCAUAAUUAUUUAGUAACUAUACAUUCAGCAUUGUUCACUGGCACCUUUUUUGACCAGGUGUUGGGGUUCUGUUGGUCAAGCUAGUUCUGUCAGAUUGAACCCAAUUCUAUGAUUAUACAGUGCUCCUGUCAAAUUCAGGCCAGUUAAUAAUUCUAAAUCAGGCUUAGAAAGGAAAUUCUGAGAUUAUACAGUGAAUAGUUGUAAAUCAGUUUUAGGAGAUUCUGGGAUUAUACAGUGCUGUCAAAUUCAGGCCAGUCAAUAAUUCUAAAUCAGUCUUAGAAAGGAGAUUCUGAGAUUAUACAGUGAAUAGUUGUAAAUCAGUUUUAGGAGAUUCUGGGAUUAUACAGUGCUCCUGUCCAAUUCAGGCCAGUCAAUAAUUCUAAAUCAGGUUUAGAAAGGAAAUUCUGAGAUUAUACAGUGCUCCUGUCAAAUUCAGGCCAGUCAAUAAUUCUAAAUCAGGCUUAGAAAGGAAAUUCUGAGAUUAUACAGUGAAUAGUUGUAAAUCAGUUUUAGGAGAUUCUGGGAUUAUACAGUGCUCCUGUCCAAUUCAGGCCAGUCAAUAAUUCUAAAUCAGGCUUAGAAAGGAAAUUCUGAGGUUAUACAUUGAAUAGUUAUAAAUCAGUUUUAGGAGGUUCUGGGAUUAUACUGUGCUCCGGUCCAAUUCAGACCAGUUCUAAAUAAGGAUUAGAAGGGAGAUUCUGAAAUUAUACAGUUAGGGUUAGAAACAUGAUUCUUUGAUUUAACAGUGUUCCUGUCCAAUUCAGACUUAUAAUGCUUCUAAAUCAGGAUUGGAAACACAAUUCUAUGAUUCUGUGGUACUCCUGUCCAGCUCAGACCUUAUCUUUCUAUAUCUGGUUUGUAAAAUUGAUCAUAUGAUUUUACAGUGCUUCUGCACAAAUCAGACUAGUAAACGUUUCUUUGAUAAGGCUUUGAAAGGAGAUUCUAUAAUUAUCCAGUGCUCUUGUCCAAAUCUGACCGGUCUCUUUUUAAAUUAGUUAGAAACAUGAUUCUAAUUUUUUUUCAGUGCAUCUGUGAGAUUCACAGAUGUUUCUAAAUCGGGAUUAGAGGUAAUCUGUCAUAUUCUACAGUAUUCCAGUGGAAAAUGAGGGUCCUGUUAGGAUUAAGAAAAAUUCUGGGACAUUUUACAGUAUUUUAGUUAAAAUAAUUUUCCCCUAUCCAGAAUUGUUUUUAAAGCAUUAUCAAGACCACUAGCUGUGGAAGUUUUUAGCAGUGAAAGCAAUUUCAUCUGAUGCCGAUUACUUGUUUGACAGUAAUGAAACACUAAAUUGUUUAGUGAGGAGGGUAUGUUAUAUGGAAAUUAGCAUUUUUUUAUGCUGUCACUAUUAGGCACGGUGAUUUUCUCCAGGUAAAAGUUAUAUCACUCUUGAUUCUAGAAUCAAGGUAAGUUCUCAGUAGGGUUUAGGACCUUGGCACUGUCAGAGACAACUGUGGCUUUAAUUAGACUUUAAAAGAGGCCUGCAUUUUUUCAGCCACAAUGUGAUUGGGUGCGGAAUUGAAAGAAGCUUUGGGAAGAUUAUGGUGGUCCUUUGACCAUGUGGAAGGGCAGGCAUAGCCAAAGUAGGUCAAAGGUCACCCGUAUCGACACAUUGUAUUAGAGUUUUAUGGGAUUCAUUGAGAUGUGAGGCUUUACAUGUCUGGUGAUUGGUGAGGAGGGCUGUAGUGAUGCGGCGUGUGUGUGUGUGAGUGAGUGAGAGGGGGGCCCUGUUACUUAGGGUUAUCGUUUAAAGGACAGACGUGCCAGAUUCCCACUUCCUCCGCUUCUCUGUCCCCUACUCUGUGUGUUUCGCUUUAGUGCAAACUCCUGGCCCACACAUCUUUCUCCCGCCCCUACACUGCUUUAAUCGCUCUAGCGGAAUGUUCUCAUUGCCAUUGGGGGGGGGGGGGGGGGGGGGGGGUGGGCUGGGAGCUGAAAGGCAGCACUGGGGCUACAAAGUGGCACACAAUGAUAUUGCUCAGAAUUAUCCUGCUGUGGCUAGUUU